This 252-nucleotide ribosomal RNA is filed under the name uncultured bacterium. RNAcentral describes it as "partial 16S ribosomal RNA". It matches the Rfam family "Bacterial small subunit ribosomal RNA", at positions 524 to 776 of the family's 1533-position model. The record is from RNAcentral.
UACGAAGGGGGCUAGCGUUGCUCGGAAUCACGUGGCGUAAAGCGCACGUAGGCGGCUUUCUAAGUCGGGGGUGAAAUCCUGGAGCUCAACUCCAGAACUGCCUUCGAUACUGGAAGCUCGAGUCCGGGAGAGGUGAGUGGAACUGCGAGUGUAGAGGUGAAAUUCGUAGAUAUUCGCAAGAACACCAGUGGCGAAGGCGGCUCACUGGCCCGGUACUGACGCUGAGGUGCGAAAGCGUGGGGAGCAAACAGG